This 605-nucleotide long non-coding RNA is filed under the name Zostera marina. RNAcentral describes it as "long non-coding RNA (ZMAR_LNC004992)". The record is from RNAcentral. Lineage: Eukaryota; Viridiplantae; Streptophyta; Magnoliopsida; Alismatales; Zosteraceae.
ACGACUCGUUGGUUCUUUUGCGACGCAGAACGCUGUUGCGGUAUUUCUUCAUCCUGUCAAAUAAGACACUCCAAAGAAAAAGCUUGCCCAGUUGUAUCCUAAAUUAUCUAUAUAAUCUAAAAAUUUCCUACCUGUACGAUAACUGUUUUUACAACAUAAUACAGUAAUAAAUAAAUAAAUUAUCCACAAACGUAUUAAAUCAUCCGGAAGAGAGAGUGUGUGUAAGGUUUAUCAAAAAGAGUGUGUGUAAGGUUUAUCAAAAAGAGUGUGUGUAAGGUUUUUCAAAAAGAGUAAUCAAAUCAAUCACUAGGUAUGGCAUUUAAAAGCUAUUACACGCUCCUAAAUCACUGACAUUAUUUUUUUUUUUUUUGUAACAGGUAACAAACCACCGGGAACUGCUUCUACCGGUGGCUACUAGUUGGAAUGGACGAUCUGCGUUCAUCUGGAAAAUGAAUGGACGAGAUGAAGAGAGGUUCUUAUGAGAACCUAUCUUACCUGAUACGAGACGUUGGGGAAAAUGUAAAACACCAACUCACAACAACCAUCACUACUUUCUAACUAUUGUUGAUGAUUUCAGUCAUAGUUUAAAAAGCGACGCUUUAAGC